This is a small nucleolar RNA of Sinocyclocheilus anshuiensis, 127 nucleotides long. NCBI's taxonomy places the organism in Eukaryota, Metazoa, Chordata, Actinopteri, Cypriniformes, Cyprinidae. The record is from Ensembl.
ACAGCCUGAAAAUUAUCUUUGGCAUUUGUUGCCUUGGAUAAGAUAAUUGUGCAGACAGUAAUUAGGUACAUUUUUGCUUAUUGCCAACUCCAUUUUGUUGUACAAUGAAACCAAUGUGCCAACACUA